Molecule: ribosomal RNA, 497 nt
Filed under: uncultured bacterium
Lineage: Bacteria
Description: partial 16S ribosomal RNA
Rfam family: Bacterial small subunit ribosomal RNA
Source: RNAcentral
GAUGAACGCUGGCGGCGUGCCUAAUACAUGCAAGUCGAGCGAACAGACGAGGAGCUUGCUCCUCUGACGUUAGCGGCGGACGGGUGAGUAACACGUGGAUAACCUACCUAUAAGACUGGGAUAACUUCGGGAAACCGGAGAUAAUACCGGAUAAUAUAUUGAACCGCAUGGUUCAAUAGUGAAAGACGGUUUUGCUGUCACUUAUAGAUGGAUCCGCGCCGCAUUAGCUAGUUGGUAAGGUAACGGCUUACCAAGGCAACGAUGCGUAGCCGACCUGAGAGGGUGAUCGGCCACACUGGAACUGAGACACGGUCCAGACUCCUACGGGAGGCAGCAGUAGGGAAUCUUCCGCAAUGGGCGAAAGCCUGACGGAGCAAUGCCGCGUGAGUGAUGAAGGUCUUCGGAUCGUAAAACUCUGUUAUUAGGGAAGAACAAAUGUGUAAGUAACUAUGCACGUCUUGACGGUACCUAAUCAGAAAGCCACGGCUAACUACGUG